GACGAACGCUGGCGGCGUGCUUAACACAUGCAAGUCGAACGAAGUGGCGAACGGGUGAGUAACGCAUAAUCAACCUGCCCUUCAGAGGGGGACAACAGUUGGAAACGACUGCUAAUACCGCAUACUGAAGUAGGUGGUGGCGUCUGAGUAGCUAGUGGGAGGGGUAACGGCCCACCAAGGCGAUGAUCAGUAGACGGUCUGAAGGGAUGAACGGCCAAAAUGGGACUGAGAAAACGCCCAGACUCCUCAGGGAGGCAGCAGGGGGGAAGCUUCCGCAAUGGACGAAAGUCUGACGCAGCAACUCCGCGUGGGUGAUGACGGCCUUCGGGUUGUAAAGCUCUGUUAAUCGGGACGCGGUACCGGAAUAGAAAGCCACGGCUAACUACGUGCCAGCAGCCGCGGUAAUUC
This 408-nucleotide ribosomal RNA is filed under the name uncultured bacterium. Its description in RNAcentral is "partial 16S ribosomal RNA". It matches the Rfam family "Bacterial small subunit ribosomal RNA", at positions 28 to 526 of the family's 1533-position model. The record is from RNAcentral.